Molecule: long non-coding RNA, 437 nt
Organism: Bubalus bubalis (water buffalo)
Lineage: Eukaryota; Metazoa; Chordata; Mammalia; Artiodactyla; Bovidae
Exons: 3
Source: RefSeq, a predicted model, not a curated record
CUUCUAGGCUAAAAUCCCAGCUUCCAUGGAUUCACGCAGUUUCAGCCACAAAUAUUUACCUUGCCUGGCUCCUGGAGCUAAUUAAAGGGGAAGGGCUCUGGCCCUCUGGGCUCUCCCUUAAACUGCUGUCAGAGACAGGAGCAGCUGCAGGACAAGAACGGCAGCCCCAUAACUCAUCUCUGCAUCUACACAGCGACUUCCUCACAAAUGUCCUCUUCAAAUCAGGUCUUCCCACCAUCACAUGUACAGAUACUGAUCCUGUAAAUCACCCUAUCUGGAAGUACUGGGAGAGGAGAACUAAGCAAGAGUCAAGAAGAGGCCCAGUGGGGAUGGUGUUGGAGGUCAGCCCAGGAUGAAGUGGACAGCCAAUUGACAGCAAGCGGAACUAUGGACAAACACAUCAACAGAUCUGGUUUUCCAAGAAAAGCUAGACAUUU